AUUGAACGCUGGCGGCAUGCCUUACACAUGCAAGUCGAACGGUAACAGGUCUUCGGAUGCUGACGAGUGGCGAACGGGUGAGUAAUACAUCGGAACGUGCCUAGUAGUGGGGGAUAACUACUCGAAAGAGUGGCUAAUACCGCAUGAGAUCUACGGAUGAAAGCAGGGGAUCGCAAGACCUUGUGCUACUAGAGCGGCCGAUGGGAGAUUAGGUAGUUGGUGGGAUAAAAGCUUACCAAGCCGACGAUCUGUAGCUGGUCUGAGAGGACGAUCAGCCACACUGGGACUGAGACACGGCCCAGACUCCUACGGGAGGCAGCAGUGGGGAAUUUUGGACAAUGGGCGAAAGCCUGAUCCAGCAAUGCCGCGUGCAGGAUGAAGGCCUUCGGGUUGUAAACUGCUUUUGUACGGAACGAAAAGCCCCGGGUUAAUACCCUGGGGUCAUGACGGUACCGUAAGAAUAAGCACCGGCUAACUUCGUGCCAGCAGCCGCCGUA
RNAcentral lists this ribosomal RNA (497 nucleotides) under uncultured bacterium. Its description in RNAcentral is "partial 16S ribosomal RNA". It matches the Rfam family "Bacterial small subunit ribosomal RNA", at positions 30 to 522 of the family's 1533-position model. The record is from RNAcentral.